UACGUAGGGCGCAAGCGUUUGUCCGGAAUUAUUGGGCGUAAAGAGCUCGUAGGCGGUUUGUCGCGUCUGCUGUGAAAACCUAAGGCUCAACCUUGGGCUUGCAGUGGGGUACGGGCAGACUAGAGUGUCGGUAGGGGGAUGACUGGAAUUCCUGGGUGUAGCGGUGAAAUGCGCAGAUAUCAGGAGGAACACCGAUGGCGAAGGCAGGUCUCUGGGCCACUACUGACGCUGGAGAAGCGAAAGCAUGGGGAGCGAACAGG
Molecule: ribosomal RNA, 260 nt
Filed under: uncultured bacterium
Lineage: Bacteria
Description: partial 16S ribosomal RNA
Rfam family: Bacterial small subunit ribosomal RNA
Source: RNAcentral